This 1352-nucleotide ribosomal RNA is filed under the name uncultured bacterium. RNAcentral's name for it is "bacterial SSU rRNA". It matches the Rfam family "Bacterial small subunit ribosomal RNA", at positions 28 to 1381 of the family's 1533-position model. The record is from RNAcentral.
AUUGAACGCUGGCGGCAUGCCUUACACAUGCAAGUCGAACGGCAGCACGGAGCUUGCUCUGGUGGCGAGUGGCGAACGGGUGAGUAAUAUAUCGGAACGUACCCUGGAGUGGGGGAUAACGUAGCGAAAGUUACGCUAAUACCGCAUACGAUCUAAGGAUGAAAGUGGGGGAUCGCAAGACCUCAUGCUCGUGGAGCGGCCGAUAUCUGAUUAGCUAGUUGGUAGGGUAAAAGCCUACCAAGGCAUCGAUCAGUAGCUGGUCUGAGAGGACGACCAGCCACACUGGAACUGAGACACGGUCCAGACUCCUACGGGAGGCAGCAGUGGGGAAUUUUGGACAAUGGGCGCAAGCCUGAUCCAGCAAUGCCGCGUGAGUGAAGAAGGCCUUCGGGUUGUAAAGCUCUUUUGUCAGGGAAGAAACGGUGGGAGCUAAUAUCUCCUGCUAAUGACGGUACCUGAAGAAUAAGCACCGGCUAACUACGUGCCAGCAGCCGCGGUAAUACGUAGGGUGCAAGCGUUAAUCGGAAUUACUGGGCGUAAAGCGUGCGCAGGCGGUUUUGUAAGUCUGAUGUGAAAUCCCCGGGCUCAACCUGGGAAUUGCAUUGGAGACUGCAAGGCUAGAAUCUGUCAGAGGGGGGUAGAAUUCCACGUGUAGCAGUGAAAUGCGUAGAUAUGUGGAGGAACACCGAUGGCGAAGGCAGCCCCCUGGGUCAAGAUUGACGCUCAUGCACGAAAGCGUGGGGAGCAAACAGGAUUAGAUACCCUGGUAGUCCACGCCCUAAACGAUGUCUACUAGUUGUCGGGUCUUAAUUGACUUGGUAACGCAGCUAACGCGUGAAGUAGACCGCCUGGGGAGUACGGUCGCAAGAUUAAAACUCAAAGGAAUUGACGGGGACCCGCACAAGCGGUGGAUGAUGUGGAUUAAUUCGAUGCAGCGCGAAAAACCUUACCUACCCUUGACAUGGCUGGAAUCCCGGAGAGAUUUGGGAGUGCUCGAAAGAGAACCAGUACACAGGUGCUGCAUGGCUGUCGUCAGCUCGUGUCGUGGGAUGUUGGGUUGAGUCCCGCAACGAGCGCAACCCUUGUCAUUAGUUGCUACGAAAGGGCACUCUAAUGAGACUGCCGGUGACAAACCGGAGGAAGGUGGGGAUGACGUCAAGUCCUCAUGGCCCUUAUGGGUAGGGCUUCACACGUCAUACAAUGGUACAUACAGAGCGCCGCCAACCCGCGAGGGGGAGCUAAUCGCAGAAAGUGUAUCGUAGUCCGGAUUGUAGUCUGCAACUCGACUGCAUGAAGUUGGAAUCGCUAGUAAUCGCGGAUCAGCAUGUCGCGGUGAAUACGUUCCCGGGUCU